GUGCUCGCUUCCGCAGCACCUAUACUAAAAUUGGAACAAUACAGAGAUUAGCAUGGCCCCCCGCGCAAGGAUGACAUGCAAAGUCGUAAAGAGUUCAUGGUCAGU
This 105-nucleotide small nuclear RNA is filed under the name Jaculus jaculus (lesser Egyptian jerboa). The record is from RNAcentral. Lineage: Eukaryota; Metazoa; Chordata; Mammalia; Rodentia; Dipodidae.